CAGCCGCCGCGGUAAUACAGAGGGUGCGAGCGUUAAUCGGAUUUACUGGGCGUAAAGCGUGCGUAGGCGGCUAAUUGAGUCGGAUGUGAAAUCCCCGAGCUUAACUUGGGAAUUGCAUUCGAUACUGGUUAGCUAGAGUGUGGGAGAGGAUGGUAGAAUUCCAGGUGUAGCGGUGAAAUGCGUAGAGAUCUGGAGGAAUACCGAUGGCGAAGGCAGCCAUCUGGCCUAACACUGACGCUGAGGUACGAAAGCAUGGGGAGCAAACAGUAUUAGAUACCCCAGUAGUCCCUGUCUCUUAUAC
This 301-nucleotide ribosomal RNA is filed under the name uncultured bacterium. Its description in RNAcentral is "partial 16S ribosomal RNA". It matches the Rfam family "Bacterial small subunit ribosomal RNA", at positions 509 to 807 of the family's 1533-position model. The record is from RNAcentral.